CAGCCGCCGCGGUAAUACCGGCGGCUCGAGUGGUGGCCACUUUUAUUGGGCUUAAAGCGUUCGUAGCUGGAUUUUUAAGUCUCUUGGGAAAUCUGCAGGCUCAACCUGCAGGCGUUCAAGAGAUACUGGAAAUCUAGGAACCGGGAGAGGUAAGAGGUACUCCAGGGGUAGAAGUGAAAUUCUGUAAUCCUUGGGGGACCACCGAUGGCGAAGGCAUCUUACCAGAACGGCUUCGACAGUGAGGAACGAAAGCUGGGGGAGCGAACCGGAUUAGAUACCCGGGUAGUCCCAGCCGUAAACGAUGCGCGUUAGGUGUACCGGUGACCACGAGUCACUGGGGUGCCGAAGGGAAACCGUGAAACGUGCCGCCUGGGAAGUACGGUCGCAAGGCUGAAACUUAAAGGAAUUGGCGGGGGAGCACCACAACAGGUGGAGCCUGCGGUUUAAUUGGACUCAACGCCGGAAAUCUCACCGGAUAAGACAGCGGAAUGAUAGCCUGGCUGAAGACCUUGCUUGACCAGCUGAGAGGUGGUGCAUGGCC
Molecule: ribosomal RNA, 541 nt
Filed under: uncultured archaeon
Lineage: Archaea
Description: bacterial SSU rRNA
Rfam family: Archaeal small subunit ribosomal RNA
Source: RNAcentral